This is a long non-coding RNA of Zonotrichia leucophrys gambelii, 798 nucleotides long. RefSeq lists it as uncharacterized. The transcript has 4 exons. NCBI's taxonomy places the organism in Eukaryota, Metazoa, Chordata, Aves, Passeriformes, Passerellidae. The record is from RefSeq and is a predicted model, not a curated record.
GUGAGGACAAGGUAGAGUCAGUGCCCAGAGGAGCUGCCUACGAGAAACAUCAAGGAGGAAAUCAGAAGUGAUGUGACUUGUCCAGUAUACAGGAGCUGAAUCAGAAAUGGACAGGAAUAUCUAAAGGAUCUGUAUUUGGAAAAGGAGACUUUGAUCUUCUUGAUCUCUAAUACACUUUCCCCCUCAAAGCCUGGAAUUGUCCUGCCUUUGUAUUCCAUUGUUGAAGGAAGGCAGGGGAAGUGACAGUGCAAAUAGAGCACUGUGCUUUGCAGAUGAGCCCUGUGCCAGGGCAUGCCAUCAGCUGCAGGGCCCUCAGCUACUUAUUCUUCUGCUGUUUUACUUCAUACUAUUCCUUGACUGCACUGCUUUUCUUCAUGGAUUUGUGAGAGAAGUGGAUGGAAGGAUGAAUCUGGUUUAUCUUUGAAGUUUUCCAUCCAUCAAAGGCAUUGUGAAGAUACAGCAUUGCAAAAAUAUUUUUUCCUGCUGGUACUUUUUAGUCUUGCUUUGUAUUUCUUAAUGUGUUCUUGUAAAAAAUUGUUCUGGUAAUUUUUUCAUAUUUCCAAAUACAAUUUUCAAAUACAAUGUCUAUAGAAGCAGCACUCUAGGGUCUCUCUCUGUUACUUUGUCAGCCUAUGGAUUGGCAGCAAUGGCUUGAAUUUCAAAUUCACCUCCAAAUUGAGUAGUAAGUUCUUCUGAUUGGAGAACCAGUGUCUACAUUGGGAGUUAAUUGUCCUAGUCACUCUUUAUAGUCAAUGUAAUCAAUAUCCUGUCUUUUCAGAUGAAAGUAAAUCUGAAUAA